AUUGAACGCUGGCGGCAGGCCUAACACAUGCAAGUCGAACGAGUGGCGGACGGGUGAGUAAUGUCUGGGAAACUGCCUGAUGGAGGGGGAUAACUACUGGAAACGGUAGCUAAUACCGCAUACCAUCAGAUGUGCCCAGAUGUGUUUAGCUUGUUGGUUGGGUAACGGCUCACCCAGGCGACGAUCCCUAGCUGGUCUGAGAGGAUGACCAUGUGGGACGGGUAAGGGCUGCACAGUGCGAGGAUGGCGAGCUGGGAUGAGAGGAUGACCAGCCACACUGGAACUGAGACACGGUCCAGACGCCUACGGGAGGCAGGCGCAAGCCGGAUGCAGCAAUGCCGCGUGUAUGAAGAAGGCCUUCGGGUUGGAAAGUACUUUCAGCGGGGAGGAAGGUGUUGUGGUUAAUAACAGGAGAAAUUGACGGUAAACGAAGAAGAAGCACCGGCUAACUCCGUGCCAGAGCCGCGGUAAUAG
Molecule: ribosomal RNA, 474 nt
Filed under: uncultured bacterium
Lineage: Bacteria
Description: partial 16S ribosomal RNA
Rfam family: Bacterial small subunit ribosomal RNA
Source: RNAcentral